ACGACAACGAUGCGCGGGUAUCUUGGAGACAUGCGUGUGUUACCGCUAGAGUAUACUAUUCUAAUUUUAGAAAACGGCCUAUUCUAGAGUAACACAUUUAUCUCCGAUAUCGAAACUUAAUCAAAAACAGUUGGCAAAGAUAUCGCAGUUAUUUCUAAAUAGACUGUUUGCCAUUUUGAUGUAUUUAAUACCAUAUCUGUCUUAUUGCAAUAGAACGUCGAGAUAAUUUUGACAAGCAUGCAUUCUGUACGGUUGCUGUCAGGAUAUGAUAUGCCGACAGUGGGACUUGGGACAUGGCAGUCUAAACCAGAAGAGAUCGAAACUGUUGUAAGCACAGCUUUGGAAUGCGGCUACAGGCAUAUCGAUACAGCGUCAAAUUAUAAUAACGAAGAAGCGAUUGGAAAAGCCUUAAAAAAAUGGUUUGAAAAAGGUGGCACUAGAGAGGAACUUUAUAUCACGACAAAGUUGCCUCACUUUGGGAAUCGACCAUCCGACGUGGAAAAAUUCAUCAAGUUGUCAUUAGAGAAGCUUGGCUUAGAUUACUUAGACAUGUACCUUAUUCAUUUGCCAUUUGCAUUUAUGUUCGAUGAAAAGACGGGUAGUGCAGCGACCCAUGAAGAUGGAAGUUAUGUACUAGACUUUGAUACAGAUCCUGUGUCAGUAUGGAAGGAAAUGGAGGAACAAGUUAAAUCAGGACGUACUAGAUCCAUAGGUUUGAGCAACUUUAACGAGGAACAAAUUAUGACUAUAUGGGAAAACGCGCAGAUUAAACCGAGUAAUUUACAGGUGGAAUUGCACGCGUAUAUGCAGCAGAAAUCAAUUCGAGAUUUGUGCAAAAAGCACAAUAUUGUUAUAACGGGUUACAGUCCGUUGGGCUCUCCGGCCGCAAAGACGCACUUUGAGACAAAAUAUAAAUACACUUUAGAAAAAUCUCCCGACUUAUUAACCCAUCCGAUCAUACAAAACAUCGCCACGAGACAAAAAAAGACAACGGCGCAAGUUUUAUUACGUUAUUUACUGCAACUGGGUAUCGUAAUUAUUCCCAAGAGCUCGUCCCCCGAAAGAAUCAAGUCAAAUAUCGAUUUAUUCGAUUUUGAAUUAACAGAAGAUGAUAUGAAAGCUUUGAAUACAUUAGAUAAAGGUGUUAAUGGGAGAAUUUUUAACUUCUUAUUCUUUAAAGGAAUUCAAGAUCAUCCUCAAUAUCCAUUUAAGGACGAACUUCCAUAAUUGUAAAUUAACACACGGUCAUUAGUUUUCUAUCAAAAUAGUUGAAAAAGAAUUAUGUAACAUACGCAACAAAAGCAUAACGUUAUACAUACGCAUUAAAAAUGUUUUUGUUGUUCUCUUCAAUGCAGUCUGUACAACAUUUUACGUUGCAAACGAUGUUGCAGUUCACCACGACGUAUCAUUCAUACCUGCUAAUGAUCCAGACAUUGCUGCUUCUAACGUAGACACUUGGAAGAGCCUUAGAGCUUCGUUUACAUGAACUUCAGUAGCAAAGGGUUGCAUCUGCAUUUUGGCCAAUGCUUCGGAGAUUCGUACGAUAGCCUCAAGCUGCCGGACUGUUAUAGGUAUAGACAAUCUUUUCUCGGCAUCUUUCUCAUGUUCUCUAGUACCAGCUCGCAUCAUUACAUAACGAUUUUUAAUUUUUCUCCUGCCUCUGCACUGAGUCUUGGACCACAACGGCUAUAUUACAAGAAAAAAAUAAUAGAGGCAUAUGGAAUAUUUUAUAUAAAGUUUAUAUAUACGUUUGUACGAUAAACAAUAAGAUAUGUAACAAACUUACGUUCUGCAAUAAUUUAUAUACUUCUUGAGAAUGUGUACAGGUAUCUCUCCUUCUACUGAUUGUUCUGUGAUCUGGCCAGCAUUACAAUGAAUGUUCAAAACGUGUUUGGCCAGUGUUAUAUCUCUGUUGUGCUCAUGCUCAUCUUUAACAAUAAAUAUCGUAUCGAAACGGGAUAGUAUCGUCGGCAUGAAA
RNA transcript from Nylanderia fulva, 1978 nucleotides. It is a transcript of the gene named aldo-keto reductase family 1 member A1, with no coding region annotated. NCBI's taxonomy places the organism in Eukaryota, Metazoa, Arthropoda, Insecta, Hymenoptera, Formicidae. The record is from RefSeq and is a predicted model, not a curated record.